Molecule: ribosomal RNA, 316 nt
Filed under: uncultured Paracercomonas
Lineage: Eukaryota; Cercozoa; Cercomonadida; Cercomonadidae
Description: SSU rRNA
Rfam family: Eukaryotic small subunit ribosomal RNA (bases 99-316)
Source: RNAcentral
GAUUUCUGGUACGGUGCGCGUGGCCCGCCAUCGAAAGGUGUGCGAGUGUCGCUUGUGCGUCUACCAUCUCUUGUAGCUAGGGUGUCUCUCUCCAGGGGCAUCUGAACUACAUCGUUUACUUUGAAGAAAUUAGAGUGUUCAAAGCGGGCUUGCGCAUGAAUAUAUUAGCAUGGAAUAAUAAUUUAGGACUUUGUUUCUAUUUUGUUGGUUUCUAGGAAUGAAGUAAUGAUUGAUAGGGACAGUUGGGGGUGCUAGUAUUCAUCGGCCAGAGGUGAAAUUCUUGGAUUCGAUGAAGACUAACUUAUGCGAAAGCAUU